ACAAAAUUACACGGAAAAAAAUUCGUCCUAAAUCAAGAAUAGAUAUUCUCAUAUAUAAGCAAGAAUGUCAUAAUUUUGCUAGGAGACUUUUAGUCUCGACUUGAUUGAAUUUAUAUCGAUGUACAUAUUAACUUGAACUCAACACAAGACUUAAAAACCUUCUAAGAAGAUUAUAAUAUCGCUUAUAUAUGAGAAUAUCUAUUCUUGAUUCGUAAGACUAAUUUUUUCCCUGUGUAUAUAGUAAUGUUUACUACAAGAUUUUCUCCGUGUGGUGCGGCCGGUUCAUUAAUAGAAGACGAGCCUCUUAUCGCGUUUCCCCCUUGGCGAACUUGCGAGUCCGCCGGUGGAUGCCCGGACGACGAGUAUCCCGCGCGAGAGCGCACCCUAAGCCUGUUUUCGCGGUCGCGAGCCCGCGGGCCCCGCCGAUUUCACCGGAGAACCGGCCGGCUCACGCCGCCACCGCUCGACGCAUUCUCUCGCAUUCGUCCUUAAUACACUACUAUUCCUUAUUGUUGUUAGUUGCGUUACCGUUACAGUGUUGCUCUAUCGUAAGAUAUUAUGAUACAAGAGUAGAGUCGCCCGUUUUGCACGGAGCGACCAGCGAUUACGACAAAUUCCUCUCCUCUUCUUCUUUCCUUCCUCCUCCCUUCUCUUGUUGCCUUCCUUAAAUUUUUUUACAGCCUGACUCUACUACAAAUAUCGCGCGUGGACCUCCGGUAUUCUGCGAGUCGUCUUCGCGGUCUCGUUCCCUCGCGAGAAACGUCCCGACGUUUUCACGCGUCCUCCUCACAAUUCGGGAAACUCCUUCUUUCCUUUUUUUCAUUAACAAGCAACGUCGAAAGCUUACGGAGAUCUCAUAGAACCGUUCGAUGUCGGAUGAAUGCGUCCCUUUCGUUUGGAGACGUGACGGCGGACUCCCGCGAAUUCCGCUCGCAGAAUGAACGGCCCGUCGUCCGCGCGAUGUGCGAAACGCGAAGAAGAAGAAACGGCUCUGACGCGCGUCGGCGCUCGCGCUUCGCGAAUAGGCUGUGAGAACGAGAGAGAGUGUGUGUGUGUAUGUGUGUGCGCGUGUAUGCUAAACCCGGACGAUAAUAUUAUUACAUUUAGAUGAGACGACGAAUAUACAAAGUAGCUACCGAGAGGCGGAUGAUUCGCGCGCGACGCGCGCUCGAGCCGUUCCACGCGCCGUCGAUCGGUCGAUCUCGAUCGUCUCUCUCGACAGAACUCGGGAGACUCGCGACACUACCGUGCGCGCGCGACUUCACCCUCUCCUUUCGACCCUCCGCGAUGCGCGGCGGCGCGAACUCGGCGCGACGGAGAAUGUCUAACGAUUGUUUUCUUCAUCCGGUUCCACGUUUUUCCCCCUUCUCGCCUUCUCUCCUUCUCUCUUUUUUUGUACACAAAAUACCAACUAUCUGUGCUGGAAAAUGCACAUGCUUGUACGCGUCGUAUAUAUCUAUGUAUAUAUGUAUAUGCAUAUGUAUAAUAUUUAUAUAUGUAUAUGGUGUAUUGGUUUUUCUUCUGUUGCAUUAGAGCGCCGUUUAUCUAAAAAUUAGUAUUUAUAAAUAUUUCACCGUUUACAUCUUGCGUAAUAUCGUGUGUAGCGUGUAUGUAGCAGAGUGGGCUUCCUUCUCUCUCUCUCUCUCUCUCUCUCUUUCCUUAUCACGGUGUUUUACAAUAUAUAAUAUAUAUAUAUAUAAUAUGCGCGAAUAUGUAUAAUAUAUAUUUAUAUUUAUAUAUAUAUUAUAUUAAUAUGUACACAAAAUCAUUCUCAUUAUAAGACGUAUGUUUCGCGUGUUGUCGACCAUUUUAGUUUUCUUGCCUUUAUUCCACGCUCAGAGAGUGGACGCUUCGAACAGAUGUGUUUUGGAGGUGGCGAAGCUGCCUUCGAGAACGUCGUUUUUCAACAUCGAUAUUGCUCUACUUCUUCUUCAUUUUCAUCCGCGAGAACCGAGCCGUUUUAUUCACGCGCACGAUACGCGUCGCGAGUUCUGCUCGAUCACGAUAAUCCGAGUUAUCGAAUCCUUCGGUUUUCGACGCGAGGAAUUCCCCGUGUUUACCAAUUACGCGAAUUAAUUUGCCUAAUUUACUCUCGUUGGAAUUUAGUAUCUCCCUGAAAUAAAAUCCGAGACCGGCCGCUCGGAACAAAGUUCGCUCACGUCCGUUCACGCACGCGAACGACAAUUUGUCGGACGUUCAAUAUUUAAGCGACAUUGUUGCACGAGUUGUAUUCUCGAUUGGUAGAGACGCACGGUGAUAUUAAAAUAUAUUCUGUAAAAAGACGUAGAGAGGGGGGGGGGGGGAAGGGGGGACGUUCUCGAACGUAGCUCUCGGAGGAAAGGACUCGGCAGAGACGCGCUCCAUUCAGAUCCCGACCACUCUCUACCUAAACUAUUUGUUCGUAAUCUCAUUCUCUCUCGUCAAUCGCACGCGCAUGCACACACACGCACUCGCACACAUACGCACACUCGUCACACGCGGGCAUAUCAUGCGCUCACACACCGCUCCAGGCAAUCCGGAAAUGGAUAUAUUUGUUCGACUACACGGUAGCCACAGCGCUCGACCAAUGGAACGAGAGAGACACUUUAAUCUCCCUGCUCAUUUUUUUCUUUAUAUCGCUCCUUAUGACGUGCUUCUUCGUGGUAUUCCCGAAGGUCUUUGUUCUGUUUUACCUCGGACGACCUCGAAGUUGACGAAUUAAUAUCGAACAGCUGAGUUCACCGACGGGUUAAGAGAAAGAUCGACACACACACCGAUCCUCUCACCCCAUUGGACGAUCGUUAAAAACUAGGAGGAUUUCUAAACGAGGAAAGUAGUAGACUCUCGACCGCGACUUCUUCCGUGUCGUUCUUUCCUUUCUUUACUUAUCCUUUCUUCUUCUACCUACCGCCAUAUAUACCGUAUGGAUCCGCGCGACGCGAGGCUGGUUUGCGCACGUCCACAUGAGAUCGUAACACGUACCUUACGCUUUUUUACUUCGCAUCUCGUUUUUAUUUCUUCUUUAAACAUUUUCGCUCGUCGUUCUCCGAAACAAGGAGGAACCGAUUACGAAUUUCUUUCGCGCUCUCUCUCCUCUUUUGUCGCGUCAAUAGGAUGUGAGGAGGAGAAGGAGGGUCGGAAAUUUCGCACAACACGGAGGGUGGACAAGCGGGGGUGGGAUGCGAGAAGCUUUUUCAGGGAUAAGCGUGCAAGACAUCGCACAUCGAGGCACGUGUCUUCCUCUCGUCUUGUUUUUCCUCCUCAUUUCCCGUUUCUCUCUUAUUACUCUCCGUAUUAUUUUCCCUUUCGUCGUCUGACUUCGUUCUUUCGAUCAGCUAUCACAAGUCUGGGUACAAAUUGGCAACACGGGCGUUUCGUAACGACUGCUUCCUCCUCGUUCUACCCUCCGACAAGAACAACGGGCCGAACGAGUCGAGAAUACUAAAAGAGCCGGUCGCGCCGGACGUCAAUUGGGCGCUACAAUUCUGCCCUAAUUCGACUUUUUUUUUCUCUCCUCUGUCUGUAUUAUAGAUGUAUAAUUAUAGACUAUAAUAGUUAGAUAAUUAUAGACUAUAUUAUAGACUAUAAUUUAGACAGCGAAAACGUCUAAACCCAGCGCGGACUGCUUUUGCGAGAGAGCAGAAUGAUAUCGACACGUCGUCGGUGUUCCGCGUUCCUCGACCUCAGCAAAUCAAUUCGACUCGUAGCGUUCGAUCUGAGCGGUGCACGAUGUGCGCUCGUUGGACGAUAAUGACUGAAGAAACGAAAUGAGUGAUCUUUGUUCGGAUAUUCACCGAUUUUCGCAGCAUAUUAUCCAUCAACUUUCUUUCAUUGUGCCUUACAUCCGCUCCCCUUCCCGGUUUCGCAGUAAAUGCAUUUUCUGAAGUGCGAGACGUGAAAAGAGCUUGAAUUCGAAAUAUGAGAGUCUCGUACUUGUGGAAAAUGCGAUUUAACGACCGUCGCUUAAGAAUCCGUUUGAUAUUCGUGCCCGACGAACACGGAACAAUGACGGGCGCUCUGCUCUCGGAUAAAUUUCGUUAACAUUGCCGCGAUCGAAAUCAACGAGGACCGUAAAACGUCCUACAGCGAUAUUAUUGACAACAAUAAUAAUAAUACAAUAACGUAAUAAUAAUAAUUAAUAAUAACUAAUAAUAAUAAUUAAUAAAAACUAAUAAUAAACACUAACGUACACACACUAUGUAUACUCCUGUACAAAGUUUAAUUGCACAAUGCAUCUGAUCUUUUCCGCGAGAACGAAGUACAUCUAAUUUAAUAAUAAUAAUAGUCGUAAGCGCUUGCUCCUCAAGGCAGCUCCACGAGAGAGUGAUACCUGGCAGUAAAGGAAAACAGUUUCGUCGAUCGAGCAGUCGACCGAUUGUCGUAGACACUGAACGGCCUGUUUUCAUUUCCACGCGAUGUAUGUAUGUGUAUGUAGGGUGUGUAAGUGUGUACGUGUGUGGUACGAAGAGCUUAACGAACUACGCGAUAAUUGUCAGUGAGUCACAAGCAACGAAUAUUCUUUUAUUUUUCUCGUUUUCUCUUGUGCGCGCGGUCGCGCCGAAAUCGUGAACAUGGAAUUAUCGUAAAUCACAUUUCUCGGACGCCAGCCGAAUCUCUUAAUCGUUAAAAACGAGGGUUCAUCGAAAAAUGAUUUUCCUUUAUCCCUUUCUAUCUCUCUCCCCUUCUCUUUUCCUUUCUCUCUACUCGCGGUAACUCUUCGCCGUUUUGUUUCUGUGUCACGCGCGGAUGUCAAAGUAUAAAAAUAUUAAUACUAAAACAUUUUCUUUUCCAUUUAAAACUAAACUCAACUCACUUAGUCGACGGUAGUAUUUACGAGAUAUCGCUUUUCUUUUCUUAAUAUUGUGAUGUAUAUACCUCCCCUUCCUUCGAUCUUCGAAUACUUCGUUAUUCGAGACUCGAGUAUUUUUUCUCUUUCUCUUUUAUUAUUUUUCUCGUGAUAUCAACAGGACAUAUCACACGCGUUACGAUGGCUCGAAACUUGACAGACGUAUUUUCUUUGUGUUUUUUUUUCUUCUUUUACGCGUAUACAACGAUGCCAGGUGACACUGAUGAGCUAGCUUGAUUGCAAAAUGGUGUUUACACGCCUAAGGGUAUGUUCACACGCGCGCUCGCAGUGUCCAUUGGAAUUACGUAACUCGGGAGGGAGGGGCUCGGGAGAGGAAGGAAGGGAGUCGCGGAGGUACCCCUGAUUCUUAACACGAUCAUGAUUCACACGCGAAUCCGCGUUGCGUCCUUUCCGCGAUUGGCACGCGCACGACACGCACGUCGCGCCAACAAAUCGUUCCGAUCGCUAAAAACGUGUUGUGUACUCGCGGCCUCGCGCCACCACGUUGCACCGAACAGUAUCGUACAUAAAAACGAAACGGAAGAAA
Molecule: long non-coding RNA, 5372 nt
Organism: Dinoponera quadriceps
Lineage: Eukaryota; Metazoa; Arthropoda; Insecta; Hymenoptera; Formicidae
Exons: 2
Source: RefSeq, a predicted model, not a curated record